Molecule: ribosomal RNA, 424 nt
Filed under: Verrucomicrobiota bacterium
Lineage: Bacteria; Pseudomonadati; Verrucomicrobiota
Description: Verrucomicrobia bacterium partial 16S ribosomal RNA
Rfam family: Bacterial small subunit ribosomal RNA
Source: RNAcentral
UGAGGAAUAUUGGUCAAUGGGCGAGAGCCUGAACCAGCCAAGUAGCGUGCAGGAUGACGGCCCUAUGGGUUGUAAACUGCUUUUAUAUGGGAAUAAAGUGAGGGACGUGUCCCUUAUUGCAUGUACCAUACGAAUAAGGACCGGCUAAUUCCGUGCCAGCAGCCGCGGUAAUACGGAAGGUCCAGGCGUUAUCCGGAUUUAUUGGGUUUAAAGGGAGCGUAGGCUGUUUGUUAAGCGUGUUGUGAAAUGUAGGAGCUCAACUUUUAGAUUGCAACGCGAACUGGCAGACUUGAGUGCGCACAACGUAGGCGGAAUUCAUGGUGUAGCGGUGAAAUGCUUAGAUAUCAUGACGAACUCCGAUUGCGAAGGCAGCUUACGGGAGCGCAACUGACGCUAAAGCUCGAAGGUGCGGGUAUCGAACAGG